This 112-nucleotide unclassified non-coding RNA is filed under the name uncultured Ascomycota. Its description in RNAcentral is "sequence contains ITS1". The record is from RNAcentral. Lineage: Eukaryota; Fungi; Ascomycota.
CUGAAUGGCUUUGGCCUUCAACCUUCAAACCUGUGGAAGCAACCCGUGCUUCGGCGCUCCGGCGCCGCAUUUAUGCGGAUAAGCGUUUGCGUCUGAACAUACAUGAGAAUUA